UUGUUAGUUUUUCUUUCUUUUCUUUUUUUUUUUUUACUUUUUUUUCGUUUUGGAAGAGUUGGGGAAUCACAUCUAAAGAGGAAAGGGUAGGAAGAUUGGAUUCCAUUAAGUUGAGUAUAGGAUAAUUGGUAUGAUUUGAU
Molecule: non-coding RNA, 140 nt
Filed under: Compsopogon caeruleus
Lineage: Eukaryota; Rhodophyta; Compsopogonophyceae; Compsopogonales; Compsopogonaceae
Source: RNAcentral